GGCAUAGCAAUAUGUCAGCGGCAGACGGGUGAGUAACGCGUGGGAAUCUACCCAACCCUAUGGAAUAACGCAUGGAAACGUGUGCUAAUAUCAUAUACGCCCCCCUUUAAAAUACCAAGAAUCAUAAAAUGCCUUGGCAUUUUAUGGGGGGGAAAGAUUUAUCGGGGAUGGAUGAGCCCGCGUUGGAUUAGCUAGUUGGUGGGGUAAAGGCCUACCAAGGCGACGAUCCAUAGCUGGUCUGAGAGGAUGAUCAGCCACAUUGGGACUGAGACACGGCCCAAACUCCUACGGGAGGCAGCAGUGGGGAAUAUUGGACAAUGGGCGCAAGCCUGAUCCAGCCAUGCCGCGUGAGUGAUGAAGGCCCUAGGGUUGUAAAGCUCUUUCACCGGAGAAGAUAAUGACGGUAUCCGGAGAAGAAGCCCCGGCUAACUUCGUGCCAGCAGCCGCGGUAAUACGAAGGGGGCUAGCGUUGUUCGGAAUUACUGGGCGUAAAGCGCACGUAGGCGGAUAUUUAAGUCAGGGGUGAAAUCCCAGAGCUCAACUCUGGAACUGCCUUUGAUACUGGGUAUCUCGAGUAUGGAAGAGGUAAGUGGAAUUCCGAGUGUAGAGGUGAAAUUCGUAGAUAUUCGGAGGAACACCAGUGGCGAAGGCGGCUUACUGGUCCAUUACUGACGC
Molecule: ribosomal RNA, 675 nt
Filed under: uncultured Hyphomicrobiales bacterium
Lineage: Bacteria; Pseudomonadati; Pseudomonadota; Alphaproteobacteria; Hyphomicrobiales
Description: bacterial SSU rRNA
Rfam family: Bacterial small subunit ribosomal RNA
Source: RNAcentral